GGAUGAGAUGGGCGAAAGCCUGACGCAGCAACGCCGCGUGCGGGAUGAAGGCCUUCGGGUUGUAAACCGCUUUCAGUGGGGACGAAAUUGACGGUACCCACAGAAGAAGCCCCGGCUAACUACGUGCCAGCAGCCGCGGUAACACGUAGGGGGCAAGCGUUGUCCGGAUUUAUUGGGCGUAAAGAGCUCGUAGGCGGUUCGGUAAGUCGGGUGUGAAAACUCAGGGCUCAACCCUGAGACGCCACCCGAU
RNAcentral lists this ribosomal RNA (250 nucleotides) under uncultured bacterium. Its description in RNAcentral is "partial 16S ribosomal RNA". It matches the Rfam family "Bacterial small subunit ribosomal RNA", at positions 359 to 631 of the family's 1533-position model. The record is from RNAcentral.